AUUGAAUGCCGAUCCAGUACAUGGACGAUGGAAUGGAGAAAUUGAUAGACGCAAGUUUACGAAACGAAACGGCGAUCGUAUAGUUGUGAAAAUUUCUGUGCCGACAUUACGGAAUUUGUUUAUGGCACACGAUGCCAUUGGAAAAGGAGAGUGCAGAGUUCUAGAAGCAUGUAACACGUGUGAGAAAUUUCUUAUAUCGCUCAUGGAACUCUCGUUUCCUACGUCUUACACGUAACACAUCGGUCGGGCUGAAUUCGUUUCGAAACUGGACGAUCGAGCUUCGAGAUGGCUACGUAUUUAUGUGAUAAAUAUGGUGGUGGAUGUGUGUACGCUGGUGGCCGAGGGCUGGGAUAGGAUAACUGUGACUUUUCAGACAGUAAUUUGUUAAGCUCCGGAUCAUAUUUUUCUCGAGAACUUGUGCGUGGCUGGAAUUUCUUAGGAAACUUUCUCCAGCAAGUUUUCAAGUUAGAUUCUCUGAAUGGUAAUUAAUAAAUCGUUGGUAUACGUGAGUGUAAAGAUUGACGAUUUGUGACUGCUUUUCUUUUAGCGCUAAAUGUGAAAUAUUGUUGUUUCAAGAUUUGGAUAUCAUAGAACGAUAUUGGCUACUAAAAUUUAUUCCCUCGUCGAUUGAUCGUAUUAAAGGAAAACGAAUUUACUGUAAGUAGAAGAAUAAAUUUGCUAGAUGCGGUCGAGUCGGUAACAGAAUGACGACGUGUUUAAACAUUGAUUUAAAAAUAUCUCGUUGUCAGCCGUCGUAAACAAUGAGAAUAUUCGUGUGAUAUUUUUGCACGCAUUUAAACUUAGCAAAAGCACUGUAAAAGUAGCUGAAGACAUUAAUUUAGUUUGUCUAGUAAAUAUAAAAUAUCUAGUAAAUAUAAAAGACAGACAUGCAAAUGUUAGGGCAGUUUAAAAAGUAAAGCGAUGUUUCGUUAGAACAUGAACCGAGAGGAAGCCUGGAGAAUGUCAUCGACGUUUGAGAUAGUCAAGAUAUAUUACUGGAAAUAAUUUACGAUGAAAAGCAAGAGAAAUAGCGUUUCAAGCGAAGGGAAACCAUUUUACCAUUAGGCAGAUUAAAGAAAUACGUCAAAGUAACGAAAAUGGGCUGCAGAAGCUUAGACGAAUGGAGAUAACCUUGUUCGAUUCCAAAGGAAUAAACAGGAUCCGUUUUUGAAGCGUAUUAUCGCUUGUGAUGAAAAGUGGAUUUUAUUCAAUUACUGAAAACGUUUGAGAUAACAUUUUGAUAAAGAUGAACAUGCAAAUUUCAUGCCAAAACGUUGUUUCGCUCGGAAAGGAAAAUAAUCGUGACACAAUAUAGAAAUAAAAUCCUGUUAAUAUUAAAAUCUAUCUCUUAAUUCAGUUAAUAUUAAUAUUCGUAAAUUAAAAUAAUUACUAGUAAAUCGGUGUAUUAAAGAGCAGUUUUAUUAAUUCAUUAUGACGAAUUAUAAUGAAUAAUGAAACAUCUCGAAUACGAAUUAAAAUUAAAUAGAUUGUAUAAAGUGGAAUAAAUUUUAUCGAAAUUACUAAUUAUUAAUUAUUAUUAAAAUUAUUAUUGAAAUUAAAAAGCCGGACAAAAUUAUUUUUUGCGUAUAACAUUUGAAUAUUUAGUUAAAAAAUCGUGACAAGCUAUUCUCUUGUAAUAUUCAUCGUCUGUAUCCUAUUCAUUUCCUACAAUCCGAGGGCGAAAUUAUCACAGGAAUAUAUCGUAAACAAACAGAUGGAGUUAAUAAAGAAAUAACCAUGCGUUGGCUAACAAAUGGAAAUUAAACCUGCUGUAUUCCUUGUGCAUAUCGGGAAUAAUCAUACGAAAAUUCCAGGCAUCAGAAUAUGAAAUAUAGUCAUAUCUCGUCUAUAUUCUUUUCACGCAAAAAUUUCCAAAUUUGCAGUAGAAAAUUUGUUAGCAUAAAAAUCGUUUCAAAAUGAGGGCGCUCUAAAAAUAGUAUCGCGAAUAUUUUCAUAAAACUGAAGUAACACAAUUAAUUAGCAAUUGAGAAGAGGAUAUAGAAAAUACAAUUUGGAAGAUGUACAAAUGAUAUAUGUAUAAACAUAUGCAUUAAUCUAGCAAUAAAAAUAUAGCAUGCAACGUAUUGCAGGAAAAACAUAAUAUCUUGCUGGGGACCCAUUUACGAUCCACUUGUAGAACGACGACGUUUUUUAGCGUUUAACCGAGAAAUUAUUUCAAAUUUUCUAUUGAAGUUUAUUAUCAUUACAAAGACUGCUCGUCUUUGACUUGCCCAAAAAGACAAUUUAGUUGCUAGAAAGACAAAGGCGUCAUUACGUUAUUACUGGGAUCGAUCGAGGAGCUUUCGACGAUCGCAUUGUUAUCAACUUUCUAUCUUUUUUAUACGAUGGAAAGGACAAAGUGCUGUAAAAGCUGCUAUAUAAUUAUCGAUUUAAACGGAGGAAAUAUUAAAAAACCAGAACUAAAAUUUCCAGUGCUAUAAAAUAAAGCAUGAAGUUUCUCAAUCUCGUUUAUCCUCGAAGAACGAACAUGAGAUAAUUUGCAGAUAAUAUUUUUCAAUUUCGACCCUGGUAUUAAGUUAGUCGAAGAUCCCUACAUUUCUGUAUAGAUCAGGUAUUCCGGUGUCUUGUUCUGCACCCAAUAAAGAUCAAUGUAUCGUAAUACCACGACAUGCUAAUACAGUCGGUAGUUCUGACGAAUUUACAACCCUUCAGUCCACUUUCCCUAAAGUUCACCCAGUGUAAUACUCUUGCGUAAGAAACUUGCAGGCCACGUACCGUGGUAUCAGCCGAUGUUGCAAUACGGAAAACCUGUUCAACGAUAACCGUUUCGAUCGUGUUAUUUCUGUAUGAUUUGAAAUUUGAAGCAGACACAAAUGUUGCAGCAUCGGUAGCAUAAAUUGCUGGAGAGCGUACUUGGCGAAUUUUCCUCCAUAAUCUAUAUGCUGAUGUAGCAAAGAAUUUCAAAAAUAUCAGGAGACAGCCAAUUAGGUUAAGAGCAAGUAAGAAGAAGCUUUUAUAUCCGAAGUAAAGUCGCGACAAAACUACACAAAUACUACUAGCUGUUUUCUCGUAUUGCUCCUAUCGUAGAUAAGUACAACAAUGUAUCUGGUAUGCUAUAUCGAGAUUAAAUUGUUGUAACCUUAUGAUAAGGACAAAUUGUACGACAAUAAGGAAACAUAUGAAAUUUAUGACGGCUUAUAAUUACGGAACGAUAUGUACUGUAAUAUUAUUUUGUAUAAUUCAUAUACACAUAAAUAAUACAAUGUCACUCAUUGUACAACAGCAAAAUUGACUAUAGUAGCCAGCACGUUGGGUAGUUAGGGAGUAGUUGAAUUCAUUGCACAAUGCAUACGUGUUGAACAAGAGUAAUUGGACUCCCAGAGAAUUUAUCGAACGAAAAUGCUAGAAAAUAAUGUAUCAUUUUCAACGUCGUGUUACAAAUUUUAACAAACUACGGGACAACGGAUUUCAAAUAUUCCACAAACAUGACUGAUAUACGCAUAUCUUUUUAACGGAGAUAUAAAAAUAUAAAAUAUGUAGAAACCGCGAAACGACGUCGUAAUAUCGUAAUAUCUUUCAUAGUCAGAACUCAUAAUCACCGAGUUCUAGGAUCUUCAUCGCUCAAACAUGAAGGAUAUUUGACUCUUCAAAUUAAUGAAACGUUAGAUAUUAUCUCAAAUAACAACGAAGAUAAAGAAAAGAGUAAAGAGGGUAAAAGAUCUCGUCAAUGAAAAUUUCAAGAUCGCCGAAAUUACAGGCACAUAGAGCUAGAUUGAACGCGCAAGUUGCAGAAAAGAAGAUGAGGUCUUACGACUAUGGCUACGCGUGAGGUUUCAUGACCGAGAUCUGUUCGAGUGGUGUCUUACUGGGCAACUUCCCACAAACAACUCGUAGAUUCUUAUUGGGCAAGAUUCCACGACUUCCAGAUCUCACUGGCCAAGGUCCAUCGAUUUCACAGUCUUACCGUGCAAGGUUCAACAGUUUCAGAAUGGUCUGAGUCGAUGAUCUGCGACCUUGGGGUCACAUUGAACAAAGCAGUACGAGUCUGGUACGUUAUAGAAGAGGUACAUAACUAAUUACAUAAGAAUCUACAUAAAAGUUGUAUUGAACAAAUUAGAAUGAAAGGUACGUGAAAAAAUACGUAAUGCAAAGGACAAAAAGUAUUGAUCAAUAAACGUCCAUAAAGUUGGGAAGAAUGCAUCGUUGUAAAUUUAUAAAGCUCCCGUGAAAAGUCAUCAUUCUGACUAUUCUGAUAGUUCUAGCGUUAAUGGACGAUAUCUCACGAUUCCUCGAUCUAACUUGGAAAUGCGUUUGAUGGCUGAUUUACACUUUGACUGCCACGCUGGUAAUAUAUGACCAGCCAUGGUUUUUCCAACCAGAGCGUUGGACUUCUUACAAUUGUAAAAAUUGUAUAUGAAAAUUGACAGUUAGGUCAUUUUGAAUAUAACCGAUAAAUAGAAGAUACUUUGAAACAAAAAGUGUCCCAUUGAACAAUUAAACAUUUUUAUUAGAACAUCAAUAAAAAAAAAAGAACAAAUCUUGCAUCUAAUGGUGCACUGUGUUUGCAUCCAUAUCUUUGAGGGGUAAUCUACGAAUAUUAUUAUAAACACAGCUUAGAAAAUAAUCGUAAAUGUCGCUUUAUAAUCGUAUAUGUAAUUGAAGUUAGAAGUGUGCACAUACCUUACUAUUAUAUAUAGAAUGAGCAAAUACUGUUUAUUAAUAUCUUUCAGUAAUAUAUUCUGGACGUUUUGCUUACAACGAAAUGACGAAUGCGAAUGGUUUGUUGAAAUAAACAAAGUCUUGUUAUAAUAUGUCAUUAUCAACUGUUAUCAAGGCGUCACGGUGGUCACCCGUGACCACCAAUAAGAUAAACGGUCCAUUGGGGAAAAAUGUUAUCUUACAUCAUCAAUUUAUUAUUAUUUUGCCAUUAUAACUUUGAAUAAUAAAAAUACUCCCGUGACGUCCUGAGCGAACCAUGUGAUUUCGGCGUGGCAGUCAAAGUGUUAAUUAAAUGAGAUCCUCGAUUCUAGAGUCUACGACAUUGUUUAAAGUCUCGAAGGUCCAACAAUUAAGUGUCACCGUUUCAACACGUCACCAACUAAAAUAAUAUGACACCGAUUGUAAAAUCUAGUCGAGUAUUGCGUGAUUCUCAUUAAGUAGAAACUCACGACUCCAGCAUUUUAUAGGAAAAAUCUACAAAUGCCAAUGUUUAUCAAAGUCCCACAAUCUCAGAACUGCCCAAGGCAAAGUCCCACAGAUUUGGAUGGUUGCGGAUAAGAUACUACGAUUUUAGGAUCUGGUCGGGCGAGAUUCCACGAUUCCGGAGAUUUAGUGGGCGAGAUCUUGCAAGCUCGGGAUGGUCCGCGAUCGUGUCUCACGGUGGUAGUGUCUAAGUAGGUGAGGUCCUAUGACCCAAAGUUUGGCCGAGGUUCCACGACUUCGUUGUCUAGUCUGCUGGAGUUCUAUGACUCUAAGUGUGUUCGAGGUAAGUCUUUUAACCUCAUGGACAUCGAGAAUCAAUUAGCGUCUAAUAUAAAUUUAUACGACGAUAUAUAUGAUAUAAUAUGAAAUACAUGGCAAUCUAUGUUUUUAUGAAAACAGGCACAGAAAUAAAACCUAAUAGGAGAUUUAUUUUACCCUUUAAAUGUUACGAAUGUACGUUACUCUUAUCUUUUCCUCUUAAAAUUUUAUUCAUUCUUGGAAAAUCUUAAUUGAAAAAUUUCAGAAACUAAUGCAUCUGUAACCCGUACUUUGUUCUACAACAAAGAAUAUACUACAAAAUGACCUCCUCGUGGAAAACCAAAUUACUUCAACGUAAAGCAGACUGCAAUAUUACUUGUAAUUUUUCAAUUAUAGUUCGAAAUAUGAAUAUCAACUUGGCGGACGCUUACCAACGUCUCCUCCAAUUACCAACUUCACGACAAUUUCACUUUUGUCGUAAUGAUAAAAUAAUAUUAACAGAAGCGACGUCAAAGUAUUCUUUGUAGGAGAGCAGGAGCGCCGUUUAACGCGUGCUACAUAUUGGUUGGUAUAACGAGGAGAAGCUCUACCACGUGCCGCAACUUUAUGGCACUUACAAUGGCGGAACGAUAUUCAUUAAUCAGAAUGUCCAACACGUGUUAUCGAAACACUGCUAGUUUGCAUUCGGAAAAGUUAUUGCCAAACUAAAUUUGGCGCUGCGUUCGGUCAUGGCUAUGGAAGGAUAACGAGCAAGUUCGUGCCGAAAGUUUAGCUCCCGUGGACCGUAUCAGCUCGACCGUAUUAGUAUUUCUAAACAUAACGAUCAUGGUGUUGUUGGUCUUGCAGCUUGAUUAACUCUUCGUUCUCCAUAGUCUUCGCGGAACGUGGAAAAUCUGACGACCCGAAGAUUGUUUGGGAUCGUCGAAGAUAAAACGAACGGAAGAGCAACAGAGAAGCAAGGACAAAGCAGAGAAUGGUAAAAGAUAAAAGAAGCAGGUGAAAGGAAGUGCGCUGCAGUCUGAUAAUUAGCGAAACUGGAGUAAUUGGAAGAGAACGCUGAAUGUAUAAUAUUCAACGUGAUAUUAUCGAUAUCGUGUCAGAA
Molecule: long non-coding RNA, 6523 nt
Organism: Bombus huntii
Lineage: Eukaryota; Metazoa; Arthropoda; Insecta; Hymenoptera; Apidae
Exons: 3
Source: RefSeq, a predicted model, not a curated record